GUGCGCUUAGCUCAGCUGGAUAGAGCGUCUGGCUACGGACCAGAAGGUCGGGGGUUCGAAUCCUCUAGCGCACG
RNAcentral lists this transfer RNA (74 nucleotides) under Roseburia hominis. Its description in RNAcentral is "tRNA-Arg". It matches the Rfam family "tRNA". From Rfam's summary of the family: Transfer RNA (tRNA) molecules are approximately 80 nucleotides in length. Their secondary structure includes four short double-helical elements and three loops (D, anti-codon, and T loops). Lineage: Bacteria; Bacillati; Bacillota; Clostridia; Lachnospirales; Lachnospiraceae. The record is from RNAcentral. RNAcentral also lists the same sequence under 32 other names.